Saccostrea echinata is the source of this 1260-nucleotide long non-coding RNA. RefSeq lists it as uncharacterized. The transcript is spliced from 4 exons. Lineage: Eukaryota; Metazoa; Mollusca; Bivalvia; Ostreida; Ostreidae. The record is from RefSeq and is a predicted model, not a curated record.
AAGGCCAUUGCAGUGGAGGCAGCACCACAUAGAGUGACUUGUAACAGCAUUUGCCCCUGUAUAAUGGAUACAAACUUUGUUACACCUGUACUAAUUUCCCGGCAAGAGAAAUCUGGCGAAAGUCGUGAAAAGUGUCUGGAGAGACUUGCAAAAUGGAAUCCUACAAAUAAGAAUACUACACCUGCUCAGGUUGCUGAAUUCGUGAUUUUCCUUUGCUCACCAGCGGCAGACAACAUGACAGGGACAGCUAUUCCGGUGGAUGGAGGAUAUACAGCAAAGUAGACGGGGCAUCGUAUCAGAUGUCCAUGUCUAUUGUUUGUUUUUCUUAUUUUUCUCUACUUUCUUCUCCGGUAUAUUUGUGCCCGCGAGUGUUCUAUAUCUACUCAUCUAGUUUAGAUGAACCUUUUAAGGGUUAAAAGGCAUGUUUUGUGUUGUGCGGAACAAAGAUCCUUUUCAGUGAACAAGCAUGCACGUGGUGGGAUGACUGUUAUAGUUUAUAAAGUCGUAACUUUUGUUGAUUUUGUUGAUGAAAUUCUUUGAAACUCGGAAUAUUAAUAUAAAUUAGUAGGGAUGAUAUGGCCAAAUAAGUAUGAUCCCACGCGCAUGUGCGUGCCCUUCGCUCUGAUUAGCUGAAGGAAAAAUCGUAAUAACUUACCUGCUUUUUGACAAAAUACUUUGAACUUAAAAUAAAGGUAUAUAUUGUAAAGAUUCUGCCAUAUGUAAUAUGCGAAAAAAAAUUUAAAAAUUUGUAUGGAUGUGUUUUGCAAAUGGAUUGGCUGAAACUUUAGUUUUCAAUAAAACAGGAGGAAACUAAGAAUAUUGAUAGGUAUAAGGAAUUCCUAUAUUAUGGUGCUAUCAAAAUUGAUUACAGGAACAUGCAUGCACCGGGAUUCAAUUCUGAUUGGCUAAUACUUAAUAGGCAGUAUCUAUCUUUAAUACUAGUACGUUGAAAUUUAAGAAAAGAUAUACAUUAUACGGCACUAUAAAAACAUACAUCUGAGAUUUUUUUUUAAAAAAGGUGCAAUCUGUCUUAGUUUAUUGCUAAAAAUGAUUUUGCCGAUUGUAAUAAAACUUUUAGGGAAGAGGCACCGAAAGGGAGAAGGAAGCGUUUGGGGGAACAUAUGUAAAUGUCUCCGUUAAAAUUAGCACUAGUUUACUCUUAUUGCUAACAAACAAUAACUAUUCUAAGCAUCCAAUUUAUACCAUAUAUUCAUUGUAUGUUUAACAUAUAUGAUACAGAGCGUGUACAUCUUUGAUAGA